This 553-nucleotide small RNA is filed under the name Pongo abelii (Sumatran orangutan). RNAcentral's name for it is "retained intron". The record is from RNAcentral. Lineage: Eukaryota; Metazoa; Chordata; Mammalia; Primates; Hominidae.
GCAUUGCGCAUGCGCGCUUCCUUGCGCGAGCCGGGCUGUUGGGUGUGUUUUGCUUUCCAGUCUCCGUCGUCUGUGCAGCACCCCGGGUUCUCCUCCAGAGCGCUAGUCCCAGGAGCUCGGAAUGUUCGUGGAACUUAAUAACCUGCUUAACACUACCCCCGACAGGGCGGAGCAGGGGAAACUGACUUUACUCUGUGAUGCCAAGACAGAUGGGAGUUUCCUUGUACACCACUUUCUCUCCUUCUACCUCAAAGCUAAUUGUAAAGUCUGCUUUGUGGCCCUCAUCCAGUCCUUCAGCCACUACAGUAUCGUGGGACAGAAGCUGGUAAAUAUUUUGGAGCUCCAUGGUGAGGUCCCUGAGUGAGUGUGUGUGUCACACAUGGUCUAAAGCUUGGCUUUCCUGUUUGCAUUGUACAGAACUUAGCAAAAGACGGACUAAAGAAAUAUUGGGCCGGGCGCAGUGGCUCACACCUGUAAUCCCAGCACUUUGGGAGGCCAAGAUGGGCAGAUCACGAGGUCAAGAGAUGGAGACCAUUCUGGCCAACAUGGUGAA